This 240-nucleotide ribosomal RNA is filed under the name uncultured bacterium. RNAcentral describes it as "partial 16S ribosomal RNA". It matches the Rfam family "Bacterial small subunit ribosomal RNA", at positions 15 to 221 of the family's 1533-position model. The record is from RNAcentral.
GAUCCUGGCUCAGGAUGAACGCUGGCGGCGUGCCUAAUACAUGCAAGUCGAACGCUUUGUGGUUCAACUGAUUUGAAGAGCUUGCUCAGAUAUGACGAUGGACAUUGCAAAGAGUGGCGAACGGGUGAGUAACACGUGGGAAACCUACCUCUUAGCAGGGGAUAACAUUUGGAAACAGAUGCUAAUACCGUAUAACAAUAGCAACCGCAUGGUUUCACUUAAACGUAAAUGGUUCGUUGU